This 6336-nucleotide long non-coding RNA is filed under the name Salvia miltiorrhiza (redroot sage). RNAcentral describes it as "long non-coding RNA (SMIL_LNC007800)". The record is from RNAcentral. Lineage: Eukaryota; Viridiplantae; Streptophyta; Magnoliopsida; Lamiales; Lamiaceae.
GGUGUUAUAAUUGUAAUUUAUUUGUUUAAGAGCAUCCGCAACUGUUGAACUCCAUCUCUAAUUUGUGGGUGGGUCUUCGGUCUUUCAGUCCGAGCCAAUAGACUCUGUAGCAGUAAGAGAAAUCUUCGCACCUGGCUCGCCCUAAGUCUUUUGGUAGUGCAACCACGUGGCUGAGACGCCCUACCUCCACGCUUGGCGUGCAAAGUCGCACCUCAACUCCUAGCCUCUCCCCCAGUAAUACUAAUAUGCUGCUCGUACGAAUCGGGCCCGUACCUGCUCUGUCAACUAUAGUGUGAUUGCUCUAAAAUUUAUGCCUUCAAAUGCAGUUUUUUAACAUUUGAUUAUUUAAAUUAUGUUGGAUUUUAUAAAUUAUUAUUAUAUAGUGUCAUUAUUAUUCUCAGUUUAAAUGUCAAAGUGUUAUUUGAUCUUAUUAAUUGAUUGGAAUUAUGGUAAAAUUUGUGGAUAACAUGCUAAAUUUCUAAGAGAGUUACUGUUUAGGUAUUUAAAAAAAAAAAAGCCACACACUAAACAAAACUGUGUCUAUAUGUACAUAUAUAUUUUUGAGGCGAGGUAUUGAAGUUGAUGACCAAAUAAACACAAAUUAGAAUAAUGACAAACAAGGAACACUUUUUUGCGAGAAGACAAACAAGAAACCUAAUUAAAUGAAUACAUUUUGUUAAUAUUUUAAUUAGUAGUGAUAUAAUAAAUAAACUAAGCUAAAAAGAUCAACGUAAUCAUCCUGCCAUCUUGGCAUUAAUUAAUAGUUCAAACAUCAUUUUCAAAGAUGAUAAUCUUACCCAACAAUAAUCAUUUCGAUAAACCUACUCCAUCUUUUGAAAUCGUCGUAAAAUAAAAACAGAUAGACAGCUAAUAUUUAACAACAUGAGUAUUGCUUAUGUAUUCAAUUUUCUCAAGAGUCAAAUGAAACUUCAAAGAUAUGAGUAAUAUCUAACUAUACUUUAUACAUGUAGAAUAUAAUAAUGAUACUUUAUGACUAACUAGAACAAUAUUUGAAAAAAUUACAAAACUACGACCUAUUAAUUUCAACCCAACCCCCCGCCCCUUCCAAAAAUAAAAUAAAAAUGAAAGCUAUUUCAUCCUAUUUUGUGGUUAAAUGAACUAUAAAGAUAUUCAUUGUCAUGUGAUGUAGAAUUUGAUUAUCCUACACUAAAUUAAUACAUAGUUCUCACAUAAAGUUGCUAGCCAAUAUAUUCAAUAUAAUCACAAAUUUUAUAUGAUUUCAGAAACCUCAAACCCAAUACAAUAUAAGUAUUUUUACAAUGAAAAAUGUCACUAAUUGAACCGAUCACAUUUAACUCCAUUUGAAGGUUUGAUUUUUUUUUUUCUUUCGAAGACACGUUAUAUUCUAUAUUUCCUAGUUAAUAACACGAUUUACAUAACAAGUGAACGACUGCUAUAUAUUAGAUACAAUAAUAUCACUGCACAAAAUUUUGAUUACGAGCAUCUAUAACAUGCAUCAUGUAUUGCAUAUUGAUAAAAAUAUUUAAAUACAUUAAUCAUUUGUAUAACUAAUAAUGAUAAUUGGUGUGGUUUAGAAGUCGCGCUUGCGUGCGAUGUAGUGACUGAUUUAAUUAUAUAUAUAUAUAUAUUAAAAAUAAAAACAAUAAUGAUAAUAAUAAAUAAAUACCUAGUAAAGUACCAAAUUUGCUACAUUACCAAUCAUAAAAACCUCAUAUAUCAACAAAGAUUUUGAUUAUAACUCAAAUAAAAUAUUGUGUUGGAAUUUCUACCAAAAAAAAAAAAAAUCCCGUGUUGGAAUUGGACAAUCCCAAUUGUCCCACACGAAUAUUUGUACAAAAAAUAUUAGAGGCAUUCUUGUGUGCUCCAUAACACUAACACUUGCAUUAAAUGACACUAACACUAACACUAUUUUGUUUUAUAAAUGACACUAUUGCAUUAAAUGACACUAACACUAUUUUAUUUUACAAAUGACACUAACACUAACACUAUCUUGAAAUGACACUAACAAUAUUCUGUUUUACAAAUAACACUAUCAUAUUAUAUAAAUAACAUUGUCGCAAAAUGACACUAACACUAUAACAUGAUAAUGUCAUUUAUAAAACAAAAUAGUGUUAGUGUCAUUUCAAGAUAGUGUUAACGUUAUGGAGCAUGGUGCUCCAUGGAGCACACAGGAAUUUGCAAAAAUAUUAUACCUUCAUUAUAAAUAAAUUAUACUCAUAAUAAAACUAAAAAUAAAAAUCAAAUCUUGCUAUGUUCUUCCAAGAAUCACCCGACCAAAAAACUAUUUACAAAUUUACAAGUCAACAGCAGCAACUCCUACGUUUUCAUUUGACUAAUCUCUAGUCCUCUUCCUCCAGAUUCCCUUUUACUACUUCAACAAUUUUAUACUGUAUUUUUAUCUGUAUUUUUGCUUAGAAUAAUUCUAAAUUAUUGAACAAAGACUCGAGCAAUUCAAUGAGGUUGAGCCACGGCACCUUUUUUGUUUGGUAUUUGUUUUUUGCUUUUUCAGCUAAGAACUGUAGUUAAUCACACCCAAAUACCCUAUAUAUACACCAAAAAAAAUCCGAUUUUGAGCUUUGAAGAAGAACACCUUUUCAAGUUUGUUCGCGAUCCGUUUGUGAAAUUGCGAGGAUGGGCGUUUGUGGGUCGAAGCCGAAAGGGUGUGUGGGGAUGAAGGGGAAGUUGAAUUUGCAGAAGAAGCGCAAGAAGCAGAGAACGGGAAGAGUUAAGAAGGCGCAUUCUGCGAAUAAUCGACAUCGCGUUGAACCCUCAAAUCAGAAGGAUGUUUCCUUCACCAAUCCUGCAUUUCAAGGUUCUGAUUUAGUUGCUUAAUUUUCUGCUUUUUGGGGGUUGAUUGUUUGGGUGUUUGCGGGAAUCCCAAAUUUUGAAUUUGUUGAUCCUUUUGUGCUCAAAUUUCUAUGUUGUUCCUUUUCUCCAACUGGGAAAUGUUUGAAUUUUGAGAUUUAGUUUUUACGAAUAUAAAUGCAAUUUUAUAAUUGUGCUUUUUCUGGGAUUGAUAUUUGAUUCUUCAGAUUUUUAUAUUUUUUUCAUAGUUACUUAAUUUUUGUGAAUUUUUAUUGAAUAGGAAGCAGUGAGGCAUGGUUCGAUCCUGAUGGAUUGAUUGAUUCAGAUGGAGAAGAUGAAUUUUAUAGUGUUCAAGACGGUUAGUUUUUAGCCAUUUUCACCUUUUUUGAUCCAAAAAUAUAAUCUAAUUGAAAUUGUGUUCAUUUCUGUUGUUAUACAUUGUUGAUUUGAUUUGAGAUGUUGCAGAUGUAUCUCAAACUGGAUCCUUAUCAAAUGUGGUUACUCCGAGGUUUUCCAACCAAGUGAUGCAGGGCAACGCCAUUGAUUCGCAGCUGAGCUCCGAUGAUCCUCAAAAUGCGGACGAGAGUGGCAGGAGGAGCGAGGAGGGAGUGAUGCAUAGCUGUGGGUUCAUAUCGAACGCCUUGCUCCCUUGCCUCGCCUGUGAUGAGUCCUUUGACGGGAGGAAGAAAUUAGAUGAGCCCGUGGAAGGGAAGAAGAAAUUGGCAAGUGCGGCAGGCUCGAGCACGAAGAAAAAGAUGUCUUUCACUCAGUCUUUUAAAUGGAGAGAAGGACACGAAAAUGCAGUCUUAUGUAAGAACCUUUUCUUGAAUCUUGAUUGCUAUAUUACGAGAUGAUGUGAUCUCUGCAAUUUUGUUGAAAAUGUCUACUUUCUAGCUUCGUUUGACUCGAGAAAAUGAUCUAUGAAGUGACUUAGUAUAGUUAGUGUAAGAUUUGAAAGUGUUUCUGUGUCGUGAUCAAUCUGACUGUCUCAGCGCUGGGAAAGCCCGUUAUACAAAGACCAAUAGCCGGCUCACAGAUUAUUUGUUCGCCAUUAGAGAAGAAGAUGUCAGAAUCUUGGUCAAGGAUCGAGCCAAAUACCUUUAGAGUCCGUGGACGAAACUACAUGAGGUGAGAACACGUUUUCCCUUACCCCGUUUUUGAAUCUUUGUUGAAAAUCUACUGAUCAGGUAAUCCGAAAAUCGCCAUUUUUUGUGUUUGGCAGGGACAAAAAGAAAGAACCUGCUGCAAAUUAUGCUGCAUAUGUUCCUUUUGGAGUGGAUGUCUUUUUAUCUCCUCGGAAAAUUGAUCAUGUCGCCCGAUUCGUAGAACUCCCAGCUGUCGACUCACAUGGAGAAAUCCCCACUAUUCUUGUUGUGAACCUUCAGGUAUAUAUAUCUAUUGUAACUAUUACCUGUCUGUAUAUAUCAGCCUCAAAUAAGAAACGUCUGCACAGUAUUGAAUCUGAGAUCAUUCGUGUUUUGCUCACUUUUUGCAUCUUAUGUAUGGCUCUGUCAGAUUCCGCUUUACCCUGCAACACUUUUCCAAAAUGAAUAUGACGGGGCAGGGAUGAAUUUCGUUAUCUAUUGCAAGCUUUCGGAGAACUAUUCGCAAGAUCUUCCACUUCAUUUUCGGGAAAAUAUCAAGGUAAGGAGGAGGCAUCUCCGACUCUCGUACCAGUAACUUUUAUUUUGCUUGCCUACAGCCUUAAUUUCUACGAGCCUCAAACUCGUGUUAUGGAAGCAAAAGGUUGAAUCUGCUUUCCCUUCUUCGUGUUGAGCAGAAAAUAAUUGCCAACGAGACUGAGAAGAUUAAGGGUUUUGCCAUAGACACGAAUGCACCAUUCAGGGAAAGAUUAAAGAUCUUAGGCCGAGUCAUGAACGUUGAUGACCUUCAGUUGAGUUCAGCAGAGAGGAAACUUAUGCAUGCUUACAACGAGAAGCCAGUUCUUUCGCGUCCUCAACACGAGUUUUACUUGGUAAAGUAGUCUUUUUUGUUGAUAUAUUGAUAUGACCUCGUUUACUUCUAGGUUUAAAUUAAUACAUCAAUCACUCAUCUACUACAUUUCAUGAAAUUUAUGGAUUUUUGCCUUAUAUAUAUAUAUAUAUAUAUAUAUAUAUAUAUAUAUAUAUAUAUAUACUUAGUAGUACUAGUACGUAUUAGUUNAUUUACUUUGAAGCAUGACUAUUAGGAUUAGGAUGUCUCAUACUAAAAUUAAACUUGUCACGAUUGUCGGGGUACCAAUUUUUGAGGAUAGUUUGGUCAAUAUGUGCUCGACUCGUGUUGCAAUCGUAAGUGCCGAUUUCUAUUUGUAUAUCCCACGAUUUCCAUCCAUCGUAGUAUAUGGAUCAAGUGGGAUUCUUAUAAAUCCAAACUUACGAAUGAAAGUGAAAAAGACUCGAAUAAUGAUUCAAAUGUAAUUUCAGACUACUUGAGGGGUUCGAUCUAAGCUACAUAAAUGAUUGUGUCUGUGUUUCUCUAACCACGAGAUCUGAUCAAGCGCAAUCUUUGCAGGGAGAAAACUACUUAGAGAUCGACUUGGAUAUCCACAGAUUCAGCUACAUUGCACGGAAAGGAUUUGAAACGUUCCAAGACAGACUCAAGCACUGUGUAUUCGACUUUGGUCUGACAGUUCAGGUUAGAUACUCGAAUCCAUCCUAAUCGAACCUAUAAUUUAUAAAAAAUAAAAUGCACAGUUCUUCACGUCUACGUGCAACGUGGUGCAGGGAAACAAACCAGAAGAUCUACCAGAGUGCAUGUUAUGCUGUCUACGGUUGAAAGAAAUCGACUACUCUAACUACUGCCAACUUAGCUUCUGACGAGGUAACGUGUGCCUCAAUUCCGUGACAUUGAUUGAGCUAUAAGGCGCAAAACCCUAUUCUCGGACGAGUUUUUCUUGUAUUUCCGAUGGCUGAAUCUCAAGAUUUUGGUGUCUGUUCAACUGCUGCAGGUGCCUGAUGUCUAAGUGUACAGAUAUAUAUUGUAAUGUAUUUACAAUAUAGUUUUGUUCAAAUUUUAUGAAGAAUUACACCCUCCUAAUUCUAGGUUUGGGUAUUUAUGUUGUAAUUCUUGUAUUAUCAUUCAUAUUCCUAGGUUGAGCUUUGAUCACAUUGUCUUCUUGUAGUUCCCAUGAAUAAGAAAAAGACAAAGGACCCUUCGGGAUCCUAUAUUUUUUGUCGUUCUAUCUCGUAUUUUAUUUCAUCAAUGUACCGAUCCGACUCAUCGGAAGAUGAGGAUCGAAGUAACAAUUCCUUUUAUUUACAAAUAUUUACAUGGAGGAACAUAAUGUUCCAUUCUUGCAUCAAAAUUCACAAACUAGAUGCCUAAUAUUUUCAGCAUUAUAUCUACAACAAAUUGCCAAAAACAAGAUAAAAAUAAAAGGGGAAAGAAAAGUGUGACAUGCAUCUAUGUCAUAAAUAUUUAGAGCCAAUUGAUGGUAUAAGCCUCUAGGCUGCCGGCGACCGGGUGCACCGGCCGAAAAUUGAGAAAAAACCGCACCUGUGGAGUUUGCGUUCCGACGUGGAGGGCGGGGGAGGGCGUGGCAUCAUCGGG